AACAGCUGCUUUUGAUAUUGGAGUUUUGCAACGCGUUCCUUCAGCUCUGUGACAUAGUUUCUAAUGCUUCUCACAUUUUCCUCUGCUGCAUUUUGGAACAUCUUCUGCAUUUUCUUCAUGUUGACUGAGCUUGUACGCCGAGAACCAGGUGUCCCUUCCUUUGACGACACAUCUCCACCUUCCUCACUCUUCAUUGGAGUCUGUUGUUGUUUCUCGGACACUUUGGACGCAACAUCAUCGCUCUCCGGUGCUCUAUUUUCUGUCUCGUUCUCCAGUACUUGCCUCGAUGAUGCCAAAGGCGCACAAGGAGAUCUAAUGAAGUUCUGCAUGUUUGCACCGUUGCUUGAACAUAAAGGGUGAGUCUUUUUCUUCCUGUGCUGGUUCUUAGGAUUGGAAGCUGCUGACUCAUCUGAAUUGUUACUUGGAAGUGACAUGAUCAGCUUGUCAAUCGACUUCUGGACGUUCUCUAGUUGCUCUUCGAGAUUUGCGAUGUUGCUUCCUUGCGAAUGAAGUCUCGUUAUUUCUUCCUUCAGAUUAGCACUGACACUCUUGUUAGUGGCUACUCCAGUACUUCCAAUUGCAACUUCCCUUGGUAGCUGCGGAGCUGAGCGCAUUUCCCUUAUUUCAGCUUGAAGUUUAGCUAUUGUCUCGGCUGCAUCUUGAUUACCUAGUCUGUGACAAGCAACCUCUUUCUGCAAAACUUCCAGAGCCCGAUUAGCUUCUUCCCCAAGUUGAUCCUGAAGGUGUUCGAGCUUGCGAAUUUCAUGCAUCAGUGUGAAAGGUGCAGCUGAUGAUAGUCUCAUGGACUGCCUUAGUGUUGCUUUUGUCAUCUUCUCACAGUGAAUGAAGUCCUUGCUCUCAGGUUUCGACGUCAUUGCUGCUGAGUAUGACAGACACUUCUUCACGAGUGGGUGGGGUGAUUCAACUUCGCGGAAUAUCUACACAGCAGAAAUUUGAGGAUAAAUGAGCAGAAAGCCUAAAGAAUGUUAUGUAGAAGAAAAUAGAUAGAAUUUACAGCAUGAGGCAGCAGAAGCAGACCUUUCCAUCUUCAAGUUUUUCAUCUUGGAGUUUCUUGCGUAACUCGUCCACCUCACACUUCGCAAGGUCUCUUUGGCGCCUCAGUUCCUCAAUUUCCAUCUCCAGCUGCACAUAUUGAGACAGUUGAGUUCAAUGAAUGGAGCUACAAUUAGUUAAACUUUACUACCAACUUUGAAUUAAUCAAAAUGUAUUGAAGUUUCACCUGCUGUAUUUUCCAGUCUUUUUCAGAUGAAGGGUCAGGAGUGCGCCGUUCUGCUUCCAGCCUCGCUACUUCCUUCUGUAAAUGCUUCACUAGCUGCUUGUCCGAAAUAACCUGAUAAUAUUAUUCGGGGUAAGAAUAUUAAUAGCCGUUUUUUAAUCAAAACAAGAAUGAAAGAUAUCUCAUCAGCAGGGUCUCCUUUGAACAGAAGAUAGAAUUGUGUUCUGUGGAUGAUUGGUACAAAGCAAACGUCCCAUAAUUCUAUGAUCUGCUGCCGUUGUUCUCUGAAGGUCACAUGCCAUGGAACUUGUGGUUCUACCGGUCCAAUCGCUGCUUCCUCCUCGUCCUCCAAGUUAUACCCAGCUGCUUCAUUUGCUUCCAGUUCUAGUACCUAGAAACAUAACACAACAGAAUCAGAACUUUAAAGAAUCUGAACAAAUACAACACAGCACUUCUAAUUUUCAUACCUGGCAGACUAACAGCUGCUUUUGAUAUUGGAGUUUUGCAACGCGUUCCUUCAGCUCUGUGACAUAGUUUCUAAUGCUUCUCACAUUUUCCUCUGCUGCAUUUUGGAACAUCUUCUGCAUUUUCUUCAUGUUGACUGAGCUUGUACGCCGAGAACCAGGUGUCCCUUCCUUUGACGACACAUCUCCACCUUCCUCACUCUUCAUUGGAGUCUGUUGUUGUUUCUCGGACACUUUGGACGCAACAUCAUCGCUCUCCGGUGCUCUAUUUUCUGUCUCGUUCUCCAGUACUUGCCUCGAUGAUGCCA
Molecule: long non-coding RNA, 2009 nt
Filed under: Linum usitatissimum (flax)
Lineage: Eukaryota; Viridiplantae; Streptophyta; Magnoliopsida; Malpighiales; Linaceae
Description: long non-coding RNA (LUSI_LNC004289)
Source: RNAcentral